RNAcentral lists this long non-coding RNA (322 nucleotides) under Solanum tuberosum (potato). Its description in RNAcentral is "long non-coding RNA (STUB_LNC001984)". Lineage: Eukaryota; Viridiplantae; Streptophyta; Magnoliopsida; Solanales; Solanaceae. The record is from RNAcentral.
GCCGUUGCACAGGAAUCGCUAGAAUCGGUUGGACAAGCUAUUGAUAAUAUCGGCUCCACUGUAUCGGAGAUUAUUGCUCAUGGUAAGGAGUCGAUCCUUGAUAAUGAUUCUGACAGUGAAUUAUCUGAAAAUAGCAGUAGGAGUUUAGGGAGAAGUAGUUUAGAGCAAAAUUUAAACUUGAAUGUCAAACCUUAUAGUAGAAUUGAUGCAACAAUUCGAGCGACCCAGUGUGAUGCGAAAACGUAUUGCGAUGAACCAGAGGAUAUGAUUGAUUAUAAUGAAUGGAAAUUGGGAUUUGUAUUAGAGGAGAUGAAUGGGGAAA